UGAGGAAUAUUGGUCAAUGGGCGAGAGCCUGAACCAGCCAAGUAGCGUGCAGGAUGACGGCCCUAUGGGUUGUAAACUGCUUUUAUAUGGGAAUAAAGUGAGGGACGUGUCCCUUAUUGCAUGUACCAUACGAAUAAGGACCGGCUAAUUCCGUGCCAGCAGCCGCGGUAAUACGGAAGGUCCAGGCGUUAUCCGGCGUUAUUGGGUUUAAAGGGAGCGUAGGCUGUUUGUUAAGCGUGUUGUGAAAUGUAGGAGCUCAACUUUUAGAUUGCAGCGCGAACUGGCAGACUUGAGUGCGCACAACGUAGGCGGAAUUCAUGGUGUAGCGGUGAAAUGCUUAGAUAUCAUGACGAACUCCGAUUGCGAAGGCAGCUUACGGGAGCGCAACUGACGCUAAAGCUCGAAGGUGCGGGUAUCGAACAGG
Molecule: ribosomal RNA, 424 nt
Filed under: Verrucomicrobiota bacterium
Lineage: Bacteria; Pseudomonadati; Verrucomicrobiota
Description: Verrucomicrobia bacterium partial 16S ribosomal RNA
Rfam family: Bacterial small subunit ribosomal RNA
Source: RNAcentral